CGUGGGGCUCCAGAUCUGUAAGCGUCUAGAGCCCCAGAGCUAGAGGUGUGUCAUCAGGGGCUCAGCAAAGUUCUCAGAUAAGAAGGUGGCCCUUGUAAGAAAAGUGUAGCUAUUUACAGCGUUAUCUUCUUAUGCAACAAGCAUAUAUAGAGAACUUCAUAGUGAAGAAACUGAGGCCCAAGAAGGAGGUUAAGGAUCUUGCUCAGGGCCACAUAGCUACUAAGUAGCAAAGCCAAGAUUCAACCUUUGUUGGUGUGAUUUUCAAGGCCAGUGCUCUUAACUACUGACCUAGUGAAUGACGUGGACUAUGUCAGGUUUGGAGGAUUACAGGAAUCAGACACCUACCCACAGGGAGUUCACAGGCUGGUGAAAAGACGGACUUUGAGCAGGCCACUGAAUGCAGUGUGAAGAAUGAAUUCUUGGAUCAAAUGGGAAGCUGGACCAAAGAUCUUUGACAACUCUUCAAACAAGAUUUCAAACCUUUUACCUGAAGGAAAAGGUAGAAAACUAGUUGGUCUCGUUUGUGCUCACCCUGCCCCUUCCCAAUAACUCAGUCUCAGCAGAAAUUCUAUUGUUCUUAAGUUCCAUUCCAGGCACCACCUUCACAAGACCUGUUUCAUUCUGUUAAUGCAUGUCAUGUGGCCUUGUACUUUUUUGUGUGUAUAAAUCAACUAACCCUUUAGUAGAGGGCAAACUCCUUGAGAAUGGGCGCUGUUUAACUGAUCUAUCUUCCUUAGAAGCAUUUUAUGCCUAGAAUGUGCUCAAUAAACAUUUGUACAACUGCAAUGAAUAGUUAAGAAAGGGUGACAUCAGCCGGAACUAAAUUAGAGAAAAAAGCUUGGUCUUUCUUCCCAUUUCUCUUUAAAAGCUUAUUUCUAGUUGUUCCUAUAAAUACACAUAACAUGAAACAUACCUUCUUAACCACUGUUACGUGUAUACUCCUGUAGUGUUAAGUAUCUUCACACGGGUGUGCACCAGAUCUCCAGGACUAUUUUAUACCCACCAAACAAGUCUCCAUUCUUCCCUCCCCUGGUUCCCGGCAACCAUCAUUCUACUUCAUUGUUUCUAUAAGCUUGACUACUUAAGAUACCGUAUGUAAGUAAAAUCAUAGAACAUUUGUCUUUUGGUGACUGGUUUAUGUAUCACUGAGCAUAAUGUCCUCGAGAUUC
Long non-coding RNA from Odocoileus virginianus texanus, 1169 nucleotides. RefSeq lists it as uncharacterized. NCBI's taxonomy places the organism in Eukaryota, Metazoa, Chordata, Mammalia, Artiodactyla, Cervidae. The record is from RefSeq and is a predicted model, not a curated record.